GACAGCAGCCGCCGCGGUAAAACGUAGGGUGCGAGCGUUAAUCGAAAUUACUGGGCGUAAAGCGAGCGCAGACGGUUACUUAAGCAGGAUGUGAAAUCCCCGGGCUUAACCUGGGAACUGCGUUCUGAACUGGGUGGCUAGAGUAUGUCAGAGGGGGGUAGAAUUCCACGUGUAGCAGUGAAAUGCGUAGAGAUGUGGAGGAAUACCGAUGGCGAAGGCAGCCCCCUGGGAUAAUACUGACGUUCAUGCUCGAAAGCGUGGGUAGCAAACAGGAUUAGAUACCCCCGUAGUCCCUGUCUCUUAUAA
Molecule: ribosomal RNA, 306 nt
Filed under: uncultured bacterium
Lineage: Bacteria
Description: partial 16S ribosomal RNA
Rfam family: Bacterial small subunit ribosomal RNA
Source: RNAcentral